This is a long non-coding RNA of Hypanus sabinus (Atlantic stingray), 1763 nucleotides long. RefSeq lists it as uncharacterized. The record is from RefSeq and is a predicted model, not a curated record. NCBI's taxonomy places the organism in Eukaryota, Metazoa, Chordata, Chondrichthyes, Myliobatiformes, Dasyatidae. The transcript has 3 exons.
ACCAUCCACUAAAUGGAAAACCUUUAUUCUUUCCAGUUGAAAUGUAACAUCUCAGAAAUCUGAUCUAUUGGUAAAGAUUCUAUCAUCAUCUUUCAUGCUGUAGUUGAGGCGGCACAGUUGCAUGACAGUUAGUGUAACAAGUUACAGUGUCAGCGACCCCAGUUCACUUCCCACUGCUGUCUGUAAGGAGUUUGUAUGGUCUCCACAAGUCCAUGUGGGUUUCCUCCCACAUUCCUCCCAUAUUCCUAAGAUGUCCAUGUUAGUCAAUAGAUUAGUCACAUUGGUCUCCUAAGGAGGGGCUUAGGAGGAAUAAUGGCACCUAAUGGGGACUCCUUUGCUUACAUCUUCGGAAGCAGAUCUAUUUCCAUCUUUAGUAUCUUUAUUUUUCCCUUUCAGGGUACCUUUGAAGACCCUGACCUGGAGUUACAUGCUGACUAUGGUUCUUUGUGGGAAUGGGACCCAGAUAUGGUUUCAAGGAUGGCUGUUGUUUGGCAUGCCAAGGGCUUGACCUAAGAGCUUCACUUGCUUUUGGAAGACCGGGAUCUUGUGGCUCUGGAGACGGGCGGAUUGAGCACUGAAUGGAUGACCUCUAGUUUUCCAGUCUUCUGCCUUCUCAAUUCCCUCCAUUGGAUAGGCUUUGGCUCCUUCGAUGUUGACCAUAUCCAGUCAGAAGCACCGAGGAAUCAUUUAACAUUUGUAAACAUUGGUGAAUCACACGAGAAGAAAGAGCAGCAUUCUGAACUAUAAGGAAAAGAAUGGCUCCUGGCUCACCUCUCCAUGGCUUCUUUUUCAUAUAUUUAUGAAAUGUAAACAUUGCUGGCAUGUGAAGAAAGGUCCUAAUACUCUUGAGAAAGUUAUGCUGGAACACGUGGGAUCCGCUUUGCUGUGGAAGGCAUUGAGCUGCCUAAGACUUUCCAAAUGAUGGAGGAACUCUGCAGGUCAUAUGACAUCUGCAGAGAGAAAUGGACAGUUGAUGCUUUGGGUUGAGAUCUUUUCUUAUGGAUGAAACUGAAACACAUAUCCCAGCAGUGACCACAUUUGGACAUUUCCAAUAUGACAAGGCACUAAUGCAAAGAUUUACAUUGAAAAUUCCCUUAAAGAACUCGUACAUUUACAAGUCUUCCUUUGGGCACCUCCCCGCUCCAUGGUCCCAAAAGCUUUUCUUCCCACUUAACCCAGCAAUUGGCUCAGGCUGACACUUCCCCCGUCCACUCUUAUCCAACUCUUUAAUUUGGCAAUACACCACGUGCCCUCAACCAGCAAUGUCCACACACCACAACCUUUUGCAUGCUCACCUAAUCAGUGAACAUGCACUUUGACAGUCAACAAAGCCUCAGGUCUGUCAGCAUUCUCUUUCUGGGAUCCCUGGACCAGUGUUCAGUGCCUGAAAUUGUAAUCCCUUCAAACUAGGGAACUUCAUUGUAUCCCUCAUAUACAUUCAUUUAAUAACUUGUAAUCAAUAAAACUAAAUAUGCAAAAAUCUGGGUGAUAAGUAUUUCUCUUCCUCUAGUGUUGCUGUCUCCUGGUUUGAAUCUCCCAGGAUGUGGUCCUUGGUGGAAUGUGCAAAACAGGCACGCCCCAAGAUUAUAUGUUGUUGCUAUUUGCAUUGUGAGUAAGGUGCACACAACAAUCCAAAUAUUUUUUCAUAAAUCAUCUUGUGACAGCUGGUAUGUAUUUUGUAUCUCCUAAUUACAAUUGCCUGGAAAUUGAUUUGCUUCAUAUUACUUUCAGUACCAUGUACAUGAUUUUUUCCCCAUUUUUCA